RNAcentral lists this ribosomal RNA (468 nucleotides) under uncultured bacterium. RNAcentral's name for it is "partial 16S ribosomal RNA". It matches the Rfam family "Bacterial small subunit ribosomal RNA", at positions 28 to 507 of the family's 1533-position model. The record is from RNAcentral.
GACGAACGCUGGCGGCGUGCUUAACACAUGCAAGUCGAACGGAAAGGCCCUGCUUUUGUGGGGUGCUCGAGUGGCGAACGGGUGAGUAACACGUGAGUAACCUGCCCUUGACUUUGGGAUAACUUCAGGAAACUGGGGCUAAUACCGGAUAGGAGCUCCUGCUGCAUGGUGGGGGUUGGAAAGUUUCGGCGGUUGGGGAUGGACUCGCGGCUUAUCAGCUUGUUGGUGGGGUAGUGGCUUACCAAGGCUUUGACGGGUAGCCGGCCUGAGAGGGUGACCGGCCACAUUGGGACUGAGAUACGGCCCAGACUCCUACGGGAGGCAGCAGUGGGGAAUAUUGCACCAUGGGCGGAAGCCUGAUGCAGCAACGCCGCGUGCGGGAUGACGGCCUUCGGGUUGUAACCCGCUUUCGCCUGUGACGAAGCGUGAGUGACGGUAAUGGGUAAAGAAGCACCGGCUAACUACGUG